Molecule: ribosomal RNA, 407 nt
Filed under: uncultured bacterium
Lineage: Bacteria
Description: partial 16S ribosomal RNA
Rfam family: Bacterial small subunit ribosomal RNA
Source: RNAcentral
AUUGAACGCUGGCGGCAGGCCUAACACAUGCAAGUCGAGCGGAGCGGCGGACGGGUGAGUAAUGUAUCGGAACGUGCCCAGUAGCGGGGGAUAACUACGCGAAAGCGUAGCUAAUACCGCAUACUAUUGGCGCGGCCGAUAUCGGAUUAGCUAGUUGGGGGGGUAACGGCGCACCAAGGCGACGAUCCGUAGCUGGUUUGAGAGGACGACCAGCCACACUGGGACUGAGACACGGCCCAGACUCAGACGGGAGGCAGCAGGGGGGAAUUUUGGACAAUGGGGGAAACCCUGAUCCAGCCAGCCCGCGUGUGCGAUGAAGGCCUUCGGGUGGGAAAGCACUUUUGGCAGGAAAGCGGUACCUGCAGAAUAAGCACCGGCUAACUACGUGCCAGCAGCCGCGGUAAUAC